RNAcentral lists this ribosomal RNA (504 nucleotides) under Bacillus sp. ACR1. RNAcentral describes it as "bacterial SSU rRNA". It matches the Rfam family "Bacterial small subunit ribosomal RNA", at positions 111 to 601 of the family's 1533-position model. The record is from RNAcentral. Lineage: Bacteria; Bacillati; Bacillota; Bacilli; Caryophanales; Bacillaceae.
UAACACGUGGGCAACCUGCCUGUAAGACUGGGAUAACUUCGGGAAACCGGAGCUAAUACCGGAUAAUCCUUUCCCUCACAUGAGGGAAAGCUGAAAGACGGUUUCGGCUGUCACUUACAGAUGGGCCCGCGGCGCAUUAGCUAGUUGGUGAGGUAACGGCUCACCAAGGCNACGAUGCGUAGCCGACCUGAGAGGGUGAUCGGCCACACUGGGACUGAGACACGGCCCAGACUCCUACGGGAGGCAGCAGUAGGGAAUCUUCCGCAAUGGACGAAAGUCUGACGGAGCAACGCCGCGUGAGCGAUGAAGGCCUUCGGGUCGUAAAGCUCUGUUGUCAGGGAAGAACAAGUACCGGAGUAACUGCCGGUACCUUGACGGUACCUGACCAGAAAGCCACGGCUAACUACGUGCCAGCAGCCGCGGUAAUACGUAGGUGGCAAGCGUUGUCCGGAAUUAUUGGGCGUAAAGCGCGCGCAGGCGGUUCCUUAAGUCUGAUGUGAAAGC